Molecule: ribosomal RNA, 463 nt
Filed under: uncultured bacterium
Lineage: Bacteria
Description: bacterial SSU rRNA
Rfam family: Bacterial small subunit ribosomal RNA
Source: RNAcentral
UGGCGGCGUGCAUAACACAUUCAAGUCGAACGGACGAAGCCCUUCGGGCCUAGUAGUGGCGGACGGGUGAGUAACGCGUGAGCAACCUGCCCUUAUGUGGGGGAGUAACGACCGGAAACGGUCGCUAAUACCGCAUGACCCGAUAGUAUCGCAUGAUACAGUCGGCAAAGAUUUAUUGCAUAAGGAUGGGCUCGCGUCUGAUUAGGCAGUUGGUGAGGCAACGGCUCACCAAACCGACGAUCAGUAGCCGGACUGAGAGGUUGAACGGCCACAUUGGAACUGAGAUACGGUCCAGACUCCUACGGGAGGCAGCAGUGGGGAAUAUUGGGCAAUGGAACGAAAGUCUGACCCAGCGACGCCGCGUGAGGGAAGAAGGUCUUCGGAUUGUAAACCUUAAACAACAGGGACGAAGAAGUGACGGUACCUGUUAGGAAGCCACGGCUAACUACGUGCCAGCAGCGGC